UUGGGAGAGGCAGGGAUGAGAAAGGAAUAAACACGGUUUUAAUUUCCAUUGAAAGAAAUAAACAUAGUUUAAUUUCCAUUGAAAGGAAUAAACAUAGUUUUAAUUUCCAUUAUUAGGUUUUAAUAAUAAUAAUAGGCUGAGUUAAUUUAAAUAGACAAAACAAGAGAGAGGUCAGGAUACUGAACAAGGAAAACAACAAUACAGUGUGAGAAUAGAGAGAGCACGUAAGGGAAGAAGAGAAGGGAAAGAAGGGAAGCCUCAGAGCUCAAGCUUAGGAAAAUCACUACCAAUCCAAAUUUUUCAGGUAACAGAUGAGUCUUAGCUGUCGAAUGUCGAGGAUGGCUAUAGGAUGCUAUCUUCUUUUUUUGUUUUCAAUAAAUUAAAUCGCUCUGAUAGGAGGCCAAUUGGGAGGAGAACUCUUAUUUACAUUUUCAGUUAUUAUUACAAAAAAAAGAAAACUGUUGUAAUUUCAGUUGUUUUUUUUUAUCUAAGACUAUUGAACCAUGUUAUUCGUUUUAGUGAUUUUCAAUUCAGGCUA
Trifolium pratense (red clover) is the source of this 538-nucleotide long non-coding RNA. RefSeq lists it as uncharacterized. The transcript has 2 exons. The record is from RefSeq and is a predicted model, not a curated record. NCBI's taxonomy places the organism in Eukaryota, Viridiplantae, Streptophyta, Magnoliopsida, Fabales, Fabaceae.